GAUGAACGCUGGCGGCGUGCUUAACACAUGCAAGUCGAACGGGAAACCUUUUAUUGAAGCUUCGGCAGAUUUAGCUGGUUUCUAGUGGCGGACGGGUGAGUAACGCGUGGGUAACCUGCCUUAUACAGGGGGAUAACAACCAGAAAUGGUUGCUAAUACCGCAUAAGCGCCCAGGACCGCAUGGUCCGGUGUGAAAAACUCCGGUGGUAUAAGAUGGACCCGCGUUGGAUUAGCUAGUUGGCAGGGUAACGGCCUACCAAGGCGACGAUCCAUAGCCGGCCUGAGAGGGUGAACGGCCACAUUGGGACUGAGACACGGCCCAGACUCCUACGGGAGGCAGCAGUGGGGAAUAUUGCACAAUGGGGGAAACCCUGAUGCAGCGACGCCGCGUGAAGGAAGAAGUAUCUCGGUAUGUAAACUUCUAUCAGCAGGGAAGAUAGUGACGGUACCUGACUAAGAAGCCCCGGCUAACUACGUG
Molecule: ribosomal RNA, 478 nt
Filed under: uncultured bacterium
Lineage: Bacteria
Description: partial 16S ribosomal RNA
Rfam family: Bacterial small subunit ribosomal RNA
Source: RNAcentral